GAUGAACGCUGGCGGCGUGCCUAAUACAUGCAAGUCGAGCGAACAGACGAGGAGCUUGCUCCUCUGACGUUAGCGGCGGACGGGUGAGUAACACGUGGAUAACCUACCUAUAAGACUGGGAUAACUUCGGGAAACCGGAGCUAAUACCGGAUAAUAUAUUGAACCGCAUGGUUCAAUAGUGAAAGACGGUUUUGCUGUCACUUAUAGAUGGAUCCGCGCCGCAUUAGCUAGUUGGUAAGGUAACGGCUUACCAAGGCGACGAUGCGUAGCCGACCUGAGAGGGUGAUCGGCCACACGGGAACUGAGACACGGUCCAGACUCCUACGGGAGGCAGCAGUAGGGAAUCUUCCGAAAUGGGCGAAAGCCUGACGGAGCAACGCCGCGUGGGUGAUGAAGUUCUUCGGAUCGUAAAACUCUGUUAUUAGGGAAGAACAAAUGUGUAAGUAACUAUGCACGUCUUGACGGUACCUAAUCAGAAAGCCACGGCUAACUACGUG
Molecule: ribosomal RNA, 497 nt
Filed under: uncultured bacterium
Lineage: Bacteria
Description: partial 16S ribosomal RNA
Rfam family: Bacterial small subunit ribosomal RNA
Source: RNAcentral